Molecule: unclassified non-coding RNA, 828 nt
Filed under: Hevea brasiliensis (rubber tree)
Lineage: Eukaryota; Viridiplantae; Streptophyta; Magnoliopsida; Malpighiales; Euphorbiaceae
Source: RNAcentral
UAUUUUCCUGCUUUGAUGAUGCCAAAACCAAAAUGCAUGAUUGAUUCCUUGCUUCAGAGCAUGAUGAAUAUAUACAUGUUCACUGGGGAAAUUUUCAAAAGCUUGAAGCCGUUGAAACUUCUCAUGUAUCUUCCUAGCAUCAUGUACCAGUGGCUCCCUAUUGUAAGAAAAUAACAAUGAGAAUCAUCAAGUAAAUCCUCUAUCAGAGAAUGAAUGUAAAUUCUUGCUUAGGUGGGUUUUGUGCCUCCUACGAGGAAUUGACAGCACAGGGCAGGUUGUUUUUCAGCUGGUAAAAUGGGCACUCUCUCUUACUCCUACUAGGCUCAUAAGAUGAAGAGAAAACAAUGAAUCUGAUGCAAAAUUGAAUAUGUUGAUAAUUCGGUGGGCCGGGAUAAUUUACAUAGGAACGAUGAAAUAUUAGAUAAGAGGAAGGGUCUGACUGUUCUUGACGGCUCUGAAGAUAAUAAUAUACUACUUAGCUGUUUCAUUCGUUUGGAUUUGGGAUUCAACAUGGAAGAUAAUAUAAAUUGUUUAUCUUCGUGUUACAAAUUCCUCACUUUGUUUGGAAGCUAUAGACAUAGAAACAUCAGAUAAACGUAGCUGGAAGAUGAUGGUAAUUGGAUGCAUGCAUCCUGCAGCCUUGUAGAGUAUCUGUAAUUUCUGUUUCUGGACGUGCUGCUGAUGAGAAGAUAGGUGUGGACAUUGGUGAAGAGGUUGGCUAUAGUAUCCACUGUAGGAGUAAGACAACAGUGCUGAAAUAUUAAACUGAUGAAAGAAGUCUAGCAACAGAUUUGCCGUUUGGGAUUCUUAAAGAAGUUCUAAGAAAUA